UUUGCUGCAGCUGCCUCUAACGCCUCCAGAUGGCGCGCUGGUGCUCGUUCUCGGCUCUCAGCGACCGGCCAAUUGCCAGCUGCUGGGGAGAAUGAGCUUGGAGCCGCAGGGCUUAAUCCCGCGCGGCUCAGAGAUGGGUUUCUGGACUCGCGAAGCAGCUGCAACAAGGCAUCACUCACUGUACAAGUAUUUCCAUUUCUGAGAGCAAAAGGAAGAACUUAAGCGGGCGGCACUUGGAGUGUAAAUUGCUUUGUAGUAUUUAAAGGCAGAAUGGAUCCUGGGCAGCCGAGCUGGUUUUUAUCCACAACAUGGCAAUAAGAAAUGCUGGUGAGGAUGUGCAGAAACGGGAACCCUCAUACACUAUUGAUGAGAAGCUUUGGAUGUUUAAAAGUCUGCAGCACCUCCCACCUUGCCCUCUUCCUCAUUCUCCGGCCAUGAGAGAUGUUCUUGCUUCCCUUUCACCUUCUGCCAUAAUUGUACAUUUCCUGAGGCCUCCGCAGACAUGCUUCCUGUACAGCCUGCAAAACUGGUCUGACUCCUUCCUGGGCUCGAGUGCUGUGGCUUGUUCAUAG
Molecule: long non-coding RNA, 572 nt
Filed under: Callithrix jacchus (white-tufted-ear marmoset)
Lineage: Eukaryota; Metazoa; Chordata; Mammalia; Primates; Cebidae
Description: lncRNA (ENSCJAG00000084953.1)
Source: RNAcentral